CUACGUCAGGCAGAUAUCAUGAUCAUGAAGGUGGUUUUCCCAGGGUGAGGCUCAUCCAUUGCACUGCCAGUGUGCUGACCCCUGCGAUUUCCCCAAAUGCGGGAAACUCGACUGCAUAAAUUGUGGUAGUGGGGGACUGCAUUUGCAUGUUCCCUUG
Small nuclear RNA from Pelodiscus sinensis (Chinese soft-shelled turtle), 157 nucleotides. It matches the Rfam family "U1 spliceosomal RNA". From Rfam's summary of the family: U1 is a small nuclear RNA (snRNA) component of the spliceosome (involved in pre-mRNA splicing). Its 5' end forms complementary base pairs with the 5' splice junction, thus defining the 5' donor site of an intron. NCBI's taxonomy places the organism in Eukaryota, Metazoa, Chordata, Testudines, Trionychidae. The record is from Rfam.